Long non-coding RNA from Sitophilus oryzae (rice weevil), 348 nucleotides. RefSeq lists it as uncharacterized. The transcript is spliced from 2 exons. NCBI's taxonomy places the organism in Eukaryota, Metazoa, Arthropoda, Insecta, Coleoptera, Curculionidae. The record is from RefSeq and is a predicted model, not a curated record.
CAAAAUACUUUGGCAUUGUCAUAUCUCUAUUCAAAAUCUCUUAUGAAGUAAAUUAUGAGGUCCGAUGAUGCAAUAACACUGAUGAAAUAUGCUGCAGUAGUAUUUUUGAUUUGUGCUGGUCUCAGAAUAAUACGAUGAUAAUAUAUUAUUUCUAUCCAAAAAGGCAGAAGAAUAUUAUAAAAAAGCUGUGGCACUUGAAAGUACUGAUGAUGUAUCUGAUAAAUGCGAAGCAAAUAUACCUAUCAAACUUGGAAUCAUUGAUGUGAUAUGAUGUGAUAUUAUGGUUGUAAAUACAUGAAGCAAUAAAACUAAAUGAUAGUAUUAAAUAAUAAAAAUGAUGAAAUUAUG